GACGAACGCUGGCGGCGUGCUUAACACAUGCCAGUCGAACGGAAAGGCCCUGCUUGCAGGGUACUCGAGUGGCGAACGGGUGAGUAACACGUGGGUGAUCUGCCCUGCACUUCGGGAUAAGCCUGGGAAACUGGGUCUAAUACCGGAUAGGAGCCAUUUUUAGUGUGAUGGUUGGAAAGUUUUUUCGGUGUAGGAUGAGCUCGCGGCCUAUCAGCUUGUUGGUGGGGUAAUGGCCUACCAAGGCGGCGACGGGUAGCCGGCCUGAGAGGGUGGACGGCCACAGUGGGACUGAGAUACGGCCCAGACUCCGACGGGAGGCAGCAGUGGGGAAUAUUGCACAAGGGGCGCAAGCCUGAUGCAGCGACGCCGCGUGGGGGAUGACGGCCUUCGGGUUGUAAACUCCUUUCGCUAGGGACGAAGCUUUUUGUGACGGUACCUAGAUAAGAAGCACCGGCUAACUACGUG
RNAcentral lists this ribosomal RNA (465 nucleotides) under uncultured bacterium. Its description in RNAcentral is "partial 16S ribosomal RNA". It matches the Rfam family "Bacterial small subunit ribosomal RNA", at positions 28 to 507 of the family's 1533-position model. The record is from RNAcentral.